This 109-nucleotide non-coding RNA is filed under the name Streptomyces sp. RNAcentral describes it as "Glycine sequence". It matches the Rfam family "Glycine riboswitch aptamer". Rfam says of the family: This family represents the bacterial glycine riboswitch. Glycine riboswitches usually consist of two metabolite-binding aptamers domains with similar structures in tandem. The aptamers cooperatively bind glycine to regulate the expression of downstream genes. Lineage: Bacteria; Bacillati; Actinomycetota; Actinomycetes; Kitasatosporales; Streptomycetaceae. The record is from RNAcentral. RNAcentral also lists the same sequence under 1 other name.
UGACCCUGUGCGGGAGAGUCCUCCGGAAAGACCGAAACCGGUCCUUCGGGGGCGCCGAAGGAGCAAAUCCUCCCCGGAAUCUCUCAGGCCCCUGUACCGCACGGACGAG